RNAcentral lists this ribosomal RNA (468 nucleotides) under uncultured bacterium. RNAcentral's name for it is "partial 16S ribosomal RNA". It matches the Rfam family "Bacterial small subunit ribosomal RNA", at positions 28 to 507 of the family's 1533-position model. The record is from RNAcentral.
GACGAACGCUGGCGGCGUGCUUAACACAUGCAAGUCGAACGGAAAGGCCCUGCUUUUGUGGGGUGCUCGAGUGGCGAACGGGUGAGUAACACGUGAGUAACCUGCCCUUGACUUUGGGAUAACUUCAGGAAACUGGGGCUAAUACCGGAUAGGAGCUCCUGCUGCAUGGUGGGGGUUGGAAAGUUUCGGCGGUUGGGGAUGGACUCGCGGCUUAUCAGCUUGUUGGUGGGGUAGUGGCUUACCAAGGCUUUGACGGGUAGCCGGCCUGAGAGGGUGACCGGCCACAUGGGGACUGAGAUACGGCCCAGUCUCCUACGGGAGGCAGCAGUGGGGAAUAUUGCACAAUGGGCGGAAGCCUGAUGCAGCAACGCCGCGUGCGGGAUGACGGCCUUCGGGUUGUAAACCGCUUUCGCCUGUGACGAAGCGUGAGUGACGGUAAUGGGUAAAGAAGCACCGGCUAACUACGUG